GAAUCUUGCGCAAUGCGCGAAAGCGUGACGCAGCAACGCCGCGUGAGGGAAGACGGCCUUCGGGUUGUAAACCUCUUUCAGUUGGGACGAAGCUUCAGUCGUUAACAGCGGCUUGGAGUGACGGUACCUUCACAAGAAGCCCCGGCUAACUACGUGCCAGCAGCCGCGGUAAUACGUAGGGGGCUAGCGUUGUCCGGAAUCAUUGGGCGUAAAGAGCGUGUAGGCGGCCCGAUAAGUCCGCUGUGAAAGUCCAGGGCUCAACCCUGGGAUGCCGGUGGAAACUGUCGGGCUAGAGUCCGGAAGAGGCGAGUGGAAUUCCUGGUGUAGCGGUGAAAUGCGCAGAUAUCAGGAGGAACACCAAUGGCGAAGGCAGCUCGCUGGGACGGUACUGACGCUGAGACGCGAAAGCGUGGGGAGCGAAC
RNAcentral lists this ribosomal RNA (422 nucleotides) under uncultured bacterium. RNAcentral's name for it is "bacterial SSU rRNA". It matches the Rfam family "Bacterial small subunit ribosomal RNA", at positions 359 to 773 of the family's 1533-position model. The record is from RNAcentral.